RNAcentral lists this ribosomal RNA (379 nucleotides) under uncultured eukaryote. RNAcentral's name for it is "partial 18S ribosomal RNA". It matches the Rfam family "Eukaryotic small subunit ribosomal RNA", at positions 592 to 975 of the family's 1831-position model. The record is from RNAcentral.
CAAUAGCGUAUAUUAAAGUUGUUGCGGUUAAAAAGCUCGUAGUUGGAUUUCUGCCGAGGACGACCGGUCCGCCCUCUGGGUGAGUAUCCGGCUCGGCCUGGGCAUCUUCUUGGAGAACGUAGCUGCACUUGACUGUGUGGUGCGGUAUCCAGGACUUUUACUUUGAGGAAAUUAGAGUGUUUCAAGCAGGCUUACGCCUUGAAUACAUUAGCAUGGAAUAAUAAGAUAGGACCUCGGUUCUAUUUUGUUGGUUUCUAGAGCUGAGGUAAUGAUUAAUAGGGAUAGUUGGGGGCAUUCGUAUUUAACUGUCAGAGGUGAAAUCCUUGGAUUUGUUAAAGACGGACUACUGCGAAAGCAUUUGCCAAGGAUGUUUUCAUUG